UAACUUGAGAGUUUGAUCCUGGCUCAGAACGAACGCUGGCGGCAGGCCUAACACAUGCAAGUCGA
RNAcentral lists this ribosomal RNA (65 nucleotides) under Paracoccaceae bacterium. RNAcentral describes it as "Rhodobacteraceae bacterium partial 16S ribosomal RNA". It matches the Rfam family "Bacterial small subunit ribosomal RNA", at positions 1 to 65 of the family's 1533-position model. Lineage: Bacteria; Pseudomonadati; Pseudomonadota; Alphaproteobacteria; Rhodobacterales; Paracoccaceae. The record is from RNAcentral.